UACGUAGGGGGCUAGCGUUGUCCGGAUUUAUUGGGCGUAAAGCGCGUGUAGGCGGCUUUGCAAGUCGGGUGUGAAAGCCCUCAGCUCAACUGAGGAAGGGCGCCCGAAACUGCAGAGCUUGAGUGCCGGAGAGGGUGGCGGAAUUCCCCAAGUAGAGGUGAAAUUCGUAGAUAUGGGGAGGAACACCGGUGGCGAAGGCGGCCACCUGGACGGUAACUGACGCUGAGACGCGAAAGCGUGGGGAGCAAACAGG
Molecule: ribosomal RNA, 253 nt
Filed under: uncultured bacterium
Lineage: Bacteria
Description: partial 16S ribosomal RNA
Rfam family: Bacterial small subunit ribosomal RNA
Source: RNAcentral